Molecule: ribosomal RNA, 253 nt
Filed under: uncultured bacterium
Lineage: Bacteria
Description: partial 16S ribosomal RNA
Rfam family: Bacterial small subunit ribosomal RNA
Source: RNAcentral
UACGUAGGGUGCGAGCGUUAAUCGGAAUUACUGGGCGUAAAGCGUGCGCAGGCGGUUCGUGAUGUCUGAUGUGAAAGCCCCCGGCUCAACUGGGGAGGGUCAUUCGAUACUGCUCGGCUCGAAGACAGGAGAGGGAAGUGGAAUUCCCGGUGUAGUGGUGAAAUGCGUAGAUAUCGGGAGGAACACCAGUGGCGAAGGCGACUUUCUGGCCUGUUCUUGACGCUGAGGCGCGAAAGCUAGGGGAGCAAACGGG